This 379-nucleotide unclassified non-coding RNA is filed under the name soil metagenome. RNAcentral describes it as "partial contains 5.8S ribosomal RNA, internal transcribed spacer 2, and large subunit ribosomal RNA". The stretch from base 1 to 120 matches the Rfam family "5.8S ribosomal RNA", at positions 35 to 154 of the family's 154-position model. The record is from RNAcentral.
GAUGAAGAACGUAGCGAAAUGCGAUACGUAAUGUGAAUUGCAGAAUUCAGUGAAUCAUCAAAUCUUUGAACGCACAUUGCACUCCUUGGUAUUCCGAGGAGUAUGCCUGUUUCAGUAUCAUGAGCACUCUCACAUCUAACCUUUGGGUUAAAAUGUGGAAUUGGGAUGCGCCGGUUAUUAUAACGGCCCUCCUAAAAUUCAGUUCUUGGCUGCUUCCUACUACAGCAGUUUGGCCUAAUAGUUUUGAGUCUUCGAUUCAAAUCUUUGGCUAACAUUUGCUUCAGGAUGUCAGUCUUGAUAUACAGAAAUCUCAUUCAAACUUUGAUCUGAAAUCAGGUAGGGCUACCCGCUGAACUUAAGCAUAUCAAUAAGCGGAGGA